This 254-nucleotide ribosomal RNA is filed under the name uncultured bacterium. RNAcentral describes it as "partial 16S ribosomal RNA". It matches the Rfam family "Bacterial small subunit ribosomal RNA", at positions 524 to 776 of the family's 1533-position model. The record is from RNAcentral.
UACGGGGGGAGCAAGCGUUGUUCGGAUUUACUGGGCGUAAAGGGCGCGUAGGCGGCCACCGCAAGUCGAUUGUGAAAUCUCCGGGCUUAACCCGGAAAGGUCAACCGAUACUGCGGGGCUAGAGUGCAGAAGGGGCUACUGGAAUUCUCGGUGUAGCGGUGAAAUGCGUAGAUAUCGAGAGGAACACCUGCGGCGAAGGCGGGUUGCUGGGCUGACACUGACGCUGAAGUGCGAAAGCUAGGGGAGCGAACGGG